CAUAAGCAUUAAGAGGUAUAUACAGUUGAAGUCAGAAGUUUACAUACACCUUAGCCAAAUACAUUUAAACUCAGUUUUUCACAAUUCCUGACAUUUAAUCAUAGAAAACAUUCCCUGUCUUAGGUCAGUUAGGAUCACUACUAUAUUUUAAGAAUGUGAAAUGUCAGAAUAAUAGCAGAGAGAAUUAUUUAUAUCAGCUUUUCUUUCUUUCAUCACAUUCCCAGUGGAUCAGAUGUUUACAUACACUUUGUUAGUAUUUGGUAGCAUUGCCUUUAAAUUGUUUAACUUGGGUCAAACGUUUUGGGUAGCCUUCCACAAGCUUCUCACAAUAAGUUGCUGGGCUUUUGGCCCAUUCGUCCAGACAGAACUGGUAUAACUGAGUCAGGUUUGUAGGCCUCCUUGCUCACACACGCUUUUUCAGUUCUGCCCACAAAUUUUCUAUCGGAUUGAGGUCAGGGCUUUGUGAUGGCCACUCCAGUACAUUGACUUUGUUAUCCUUAAGCCAUUUUGCCACAACUUCGGAGGUAUGCUUGGGGUCAUUGUCCAUUUAGAAGACCCAUUUGCGACCGAGCUUUAACUUCCUGGCUGAUGCCUUGAGAUGUUGCUUCAAUAUAUUUACAUAAUUUUCCUUCCUCAUGAUGACAUCUAUUUUGUGAAGUGCACCAGUCCCCCCUGCAGCAAAGAACCCCCACAACAUGAUGCUGCCACCCCCAUGCUUCACAGUUGGGAUGGUGUUCUUCGUCUUGCAAGCCUCACCCUUUUUCCUCCAAACAUAACAAUAGUCAUUAUGGCCAAACAGUUAAAUUUUUGUUUCAUUAGACCAGAGGACAUUUCUCCAAAAAAGUAAGAUCUUUGUCCCCAUGUGCACUUGCAAAUUGUAGUCUGGCUUUUUUAUGGCGGUUUUGGAGCAGUGGCUUCUUCCUUGCUGAGCAGCCUUUCAGGUUAUAUGGAUAUAGGACUCGUUUUACUGUGGAUAUAGAUACUUGUCUACCUGUUUCCUCCAGCAUCUUCACAAGGUCAUUUGCUGUUGUUCUGGGAUUGAUUUGCACUUUUCGCACCAAACUACAUUCAUCUCUAGGAGACAGAAUGCGUCCUGAACGGUAUGAUGGCUGCAUGGUCCCAUGGUGUUUAUACUUGCAUACUAUUGUUUGUACAGAUGAACGUGACCUUCAGCCAUUUGGAAAUUGCUCCCAAGGAUGAACCAGACUUGUGGAGGUCCACAAUUUUUUUCUUUUCUUUUUCUUUCUCUGAGGUCUUGGCUGAAUUCUUUGGAUUUUCCCAUGAUGUCAAGCAAAGAGGCACUGAGUUUGAAGGUAGGCCUUAAAAAUACAUCCACUGGUACACCUCCAAUUUAGUACACCUCCUAUCAGAAGCUAAUUGGGUAUUUGUCUAAAGGCUUGACAUCAUUUUGUGGAAUUUUUCAAGCUGCUUAAAAGCACAGUUAACUUAGUGUAUGUAAACUUCUAACCCACUGGAAUUGUGAUAUGGUCGAUUAAAAGUGAAACAAUCUGUCUGUAAACAAUUGUUGGAAAAAUGACUUCACAGCAGUGUUAUUCACAAAGUAGUUGUCCUAAAUGACUUGUCAAAACUAUAGUUUGCUUAUAUUAAAUCUGUGGAGUGGUUAAAUUAGUUUUAAUGACUUCAACCUAAGUGUAUGUAAACUUCUGUCUUCAACUGUAUGUUCUGUUCUGUUUCUAUGAUACAGUGGAUCGUAAGAUGUCAAUUUGAAAUGUAGCUCAGUCUUCCAAAUGUUUCUGAAUGCAGUUUAUUUUUACUUCCAAUAUUUUCAUUACCUAAAACACUCCCUGUAUGAUGCAAAUGAGCAUCAAAACUCCUACUACUGCUAACUCUUUGCCUCCGACCCGUGACUGAUACCUGACUCUCCCUCGAGAACUUAAGUGCUUCUCAGUAUAUUCUGCUCAGCUGUCCACAGCAAAAGUACUAAAGUGUGAAUGUCUGCAAUUGCAACUCUUUUGCUUACAGUGUUAGUAUGUAAGGUUUUUGGGAUGAUUCUGGAUUUGAGUAUGAAUCAGAACUGUUAAUAAACAGUUUAAAGCUG
Myxocyprinus asiaticus (Chinese sucker) is the source of this 2059-nucleotide long non-coding RNA. RefSeq lists it as uncharacterized. The record is from RefSeq and is a predicted model, not a curated record. The transcript is spliced from 2 exons. Lineage: Eukaryota; Metazoa; Chordata; Actinopteri; Cypriniformes; Catostomidae.